Molecule: non-coding RNA, 242 nt
Filed under: Levilactobacillus brevis
Lineage: Bacteria; Bacillati; Bacillota; Bacilli; Lactobacillales; Lactobacillaceae
Description: Lactobacillus brevis T-box sequence
Rfam family: T-box leader
About the family: Uncharged tRNA acts as the effector for transcription antitermination of genes in the T-box leader family. T-boxes are found upstream of many aminoacyl-tRNA synthetase genes and some amino acid biosynthetic genes usually in Gram-positive bacteria.
Source: RNAcentral
GAAAAAGCGAUGAAGAGAAACGUCAUUUUGUAGUUGUAAUCAGAGAGUUGCUGGUUGGUGAGAAGCAAUUUACGAUAUAAAAUGAUCAUCAUCUCCGAGCUAUGUAGCCAAAUGUUUUUAGUAGGUUGCAUUGGGAGCACCCAUUAUUAUGUCAGCGUAUCGUAAUUUUUACUGUACGUGUGAGAUAGCCUUAGUAAUAAGGUUAUAAAGAUAAGGUGGUACCGCGCUAAAACGUCCUUUAA